This is a small RNA of Polaribacter atrinae, 74 nucleotides long. It matches the Rfam family "Flavo-1 RNA". The record is from Rfam. Lineage: Bacteria; Pseudomonadati; Bacteroidota; Flavobacteriia; Flavobacteriales; Flavobacteriaceae.
ACUUAGCCCUGAUUGCAGCGGCAUCCUUUUUUUGUUUUUUACAAAAAAAGAUAUAGCGGAAAGCAGGAAAUAGC